UACGGAGGAUGCAAGCGUUAUCCGGAAUGGUUGGGCGUAAAGCGUCCGCAGGUGGCAAUGUAAGUCUGCUGUUAAAGAGUGAGGCUCAACCUCAUAAGAGCAGUGGAAACUACAUAGCUAGAGUGCGUUCGGGGCAAAGGGAAUUCCUGGUGUAGCGGUGAAAUGCGUAGAGAUCAGGAAGAACACCGGUGGCGAAAGCGCUUUGCUAGGCCGCAACUGACACUGAGGGACGAAAGCUAGGGGAGCGAAUGGG
Molecule: ribosomal RNA, 253 nt
Filed under: uncultured bacterium
Lineage: Bacteria
Description: partial 16S ribosomal RNA
Rfam family: Bacterial small subunit ribosomal RNA
Source: RNAcentral